ACGACAUUAGGGAACUUUAGAUUCGCUACGGCUACGAAAUCUGGUACGACUACGAGAUUUUUUCCGUUAAAUAUGUGCUACUACAGACUUUCUAUCGUCCUUUCUUUUGCAUACCACAUCUUUAUAGUAACAGUUGCGCCAAACCACGUACUAUUAUAAGUUUUUAGUAGCUGAUAUUUAAUGGAAAAAAUCUCGUAGUCGUGCUAGAUUUCGUAGCCGUAGCGAAUCUAAAGUUCCCGAUUAAAUCACGG
This 251-nucleotide long non-coding RNA is filed under the name Paramuricea clavata. Lineage: Eukaryota; Metazoa; Cnidaria; Anthozoa; Malacalcyonacea; Plexauridae. The record is from RNAcentral.